Molecule: transfer RNA, 61 nt
Filed under: Ixodes granulatus
Lineage: Eukaryota; Metazoa; Arthropoda; Arachnida; Ixodida; Ixodidae
Description: tRNA-Ala
Source: RNAcentral
AGAAAAGUAUUUAAAGUUAUAAAACCUAAUUUGCAAUUAGAAAUUGAAUUUUCCUUUUCUA